AGGCAGCAGUGGGGAAUAUUGCACAAUGGGCGCAAGCCUGAUGCAGCCAUGCCGCGUGUGUGAAGAAGGCCUUCGGGUUGUAAAGCACUUUCAGUCGUGAGGAAGGUAGUGUAGUUAAUAGCUGCAUUAUUUGACGUUAGCGACAGAAGAAGCACCGGCUAACUCCGUGCCAGCAGCCGCGGUAAUACGGAGGGUGCGAGCGUUAAUCGGAAUUACUGGGCGUAAAGCGCAUGCAGGUGGUUUGUUAAGUCAGAUGUGAAAGCCCGGGGCUCAACCUCGGAAUUGCAUUUGAAACUGGCAGACUAGAGUACUGUAGAGGGGGUAGAAUUUCAGGUGUAGCGGUGAAAAUGCGUAGAGAUCUGAAGGAAUACCGGUGGCGAAGGCGGCCCCCUGGACAGAUACUGACACUCAGAUGCGAAAGCGUGGGGAGCAAACAGGAUUAGAUACCCUGGUAG
This 455-nucleotide ribosomal RNA is filed under the name uncultured bacterium. RNAcentral's name for it is "bacterial SSU rRNA". It matches the Rfam family "Bacterial small subunit ribosomal RNA", at positions 346 to 793 of the family's 1533-position model. The record is from RNAcentral.